ACCACACCCCCUCCCUCAGCCAUUGUGCUCUUCUAACACUGUCUCUGUUAUUGCAUAACAAAUUCCCACCAAACGUGGUAGCUAAAACAACAAUAAACAUUUAUGACCUCACAUGGUUUCUGAGGGACAGGAAUUCAGGAGUGGCUAGGCUAGGCUGCUCUGGCUCAGGUCCUUUCAUUAGCUCCAGUCCAGAUGUCAGCAGGACUGCAGUCAGCUGAGGGUGUGAGUGGGACUGGAGGUUCCACAUCCAAUAUGGCUCCCUCACGGGGAAGGCAGGGAAGGAGACGGUGGCGGCUUAGCCCUGGGCACAGGUCCCAGGGGGCUGGCUUCCCAGCGACAGGCUGGAUUCCGCACCCUGACGACAUCCUCUGCUUUGGGGAGGACCUAGCAGCUACUUGGGAAAGGAGGAAACUCAGUACUUUAUAGGCUGGAAAUUAAAAAACCAAGAUACCAGCUGGAAUAUACUCACGCAAGGGGAACCGUGAGAGGAGAGAUCAUCCUGGCCCAUUUGGUGGGCUGAAUGGAGUGACCUGUGCUAGGAACCCCCUUGACACCUCGGGGGCCUCUUCAGACUGAGAGCGGCGUCCUGACAGGACAAACCCACACCUGGGAGGUGAAGCACUGAUCUCAGGUCGCACCGACUCACACGGCAACACUCAUUCAUCACCCUGCGAGCUGAUUUCAGGGCACCACUUACGGAUCUCAGAGUCCAAUUCCAGACCCUUCAACCCAACGUUCCCAUGGGGGAGGGCUCUGCUAGGAGCCACGCCUGUCCGGGUUGCCAGACGCAUUUGGCAGACAGAGUACCUACAAUUCCACUGUUGUUACCGAGGCGAAUAAGAAUUUAUUGAUCCUGGCAGCUUUGACAGUCUCAAGAGUCCUGCAAGCUCUGAAUGUCACCUCUUCCGGGAAGCAGACCCUAAUUCCCAAGGCGCUGGCCUCCCCCUCCCCCACAGCCUCCUGUACAUGCCUUCUUUCACAUACUGGUCUGCAAUGUGUCUCACUCCCCACUCGGGGCCCUCAGGAUGGCAUCUGGGCCUCAGUAAACACUAAAUAUUGUGGCAUCAACAUCGCCACUCCAGGACACUCGGAGGCUUCAGGGAAGAUGAGGCUGGGAGCCAGUGGAGGAUGGGCGGCCAGUGCUCUCAGCAAUCCUCACCCUGCCUCGAGGCCCUGGGCAGGCCGCUUGCUCACGAGGGACUCCGUGUCCUCCGGACCUCAGCCUGGGCACGGGGCUGUGCUCAUCAGGGUCGCACGUGGGUGGACCCCGGCUGUGGGAGGGCCCAGCACGGCACCCAGAGCACCUGCCCUGGGUGCGUACACAGGCAGGAAGCAGGAGUUGAAACCUGCCAGCUGGGUCUUCAUGACCAACCCCGGGCAGUUUCUGCUCGGGGCACUUCAUAGCUUGGGAUUCUAGCCCGUCGAUGGCUCAAAGGCAGAGUUCUGGGUGGUUCUGUUUCCAGGCCAGGAGCCACCCCACCCCGCCCCCCGCCCCCAGCCUCCAGCUUGGGAGUUCCUAGACAUCAGUGCCCCACCUGGGCCAUUGCACCUGCUCCCAGCAUAGCCCUGGAGAGCUCAGCAAAGGCUGGGCCGGUGCUUUCCAUGAACCACGAAAGUUUUUAGCUGAUGACCGGAGUGAUUUGUAUCCAUUAUGGGAACAUUGGGAAACACAUAACAGCAAAAAAUAAAAUAAUUGAAAAUAAACGUCACCUAUAAUCCCAAUUCCACCAGCUACGAAUGUACAUUUCUUCCAUUCCGGAAAACUUCCUUCCAGGCUUUUCUAUGCCUCUAUGCUUAAAAAAAAAAAAAAAUGUGGAUUCUGUUGAGCCCUGUUUCAUACCUGCUGAGCUGGCAUGGCUCUACAGGCUAUUAUGUCUCCAAACCAUUAAAACUCCUCACGUUUGCUAACAACACCCCGGGCACAGCCAUGCCACAUCCCCUGAUUUAGGGAACCCCUAUUGUUGGGCACUGGGGUUGUUUCUAAUUUUUCUUUAUUUUACCCAAUCCUCCACGACGACCCUUGUGGCCAUAUUUUCAUGACCUUCCUCAGAGCAGAUUAAGACUUUAGAGGCCCCUGAGUGAGCCCUGGCAACAUUUGGUGCACUCCGCCUGCCCCUCCCCCCACCCCACAAGAUGCAAUAUUAAAUACAAGCAAUAAAAUAAGGAUAAGGACAUCUGGCAAAGUUCUGGUGUUGCCCUGAUGCAUUAUGCCUCGUUUGAAGUAUUGAAUUCACUUUUAAAUUUAUAUUUUGCUCAUUUGGAAGGGGAUACACCUGCUUUGCUGGCACCCCCCAGCACGGAUUGGGGGCUCCCGACGGCACUUACGACUCUUACCUUACAGUAAUUUUUAGGGAGAGAAAUAUCAGGGUUAAGGGUUCUCCGUAUGUGAGGCUUUUCGGUCCAUGUGUCUGUCCUCGCCCACCGUGGAAUCCAUGACCUGUCACACACCUGCACUCAGCUCUCUGGUGAAUGACUGAUGAUUGCCAAAUGCCCCCCAACCCCCUCACCCCCCUCAUAAACUGUGCUGUUGGAGCUGGUAUGUGAUUAAAUGGAUACACGACACGUAGGACCAUCUUGGAAGCAGACAUCUUGGGCCCUCAGGUGGGUCUGAGUCCAGAAGGUUUGGGGUAAGGACAGAAUGUCCCCGUCCCUGUGACUGGAGGACAAUGCUCAGAGAGCCCCAGGCUAUGGGGCUCAGAGGCUAGGGAGUGGAGCCUCCACACCUCAAGGCAAAACUGGCCCGGCUGCUGACUGAAGCUUCUCUCUGGACUUCACUUUCCUCACUUAUAAAAUGGGUGUGACAAAAUAUUUGACACCUCCGUUGUGGCUCCUUAUUGACCCUGGGUAUGACCCCACCUGUUCCUGUGACACUUAGAGCACUCCAGUAACUGGGGCACCUUCACAAGGCCGUCAGCCCUGUGUCCCGCCCCGCCAAGAGCCCACAUCCAGGGUCCCGCCCAAAAGUGCUCUCCCUUCCUUGUCAGGGCCCACGUCUAGCAGGUCUUUCCCAGUCUGCCCGUUGGAAUCCCACCCAUGCUUGCACAUCAUUCCCUCUGCAGCCUGGAGACUUCCUGAAGGUCCUCCCUCCCAGGCACCAGGUUUGGGUCCCGGCCACGGCUCCUGCGACGGCACCCCUGGGAAGUACGCAGGGCUGUCCCUCACUGGCCUGUGACUUCUUUGGGAGCAUGGCCACGGCCUCGACCCCAGGCCGGCCCAGCACAGUGCU
Molecule: long non-coding RNA, 3226 nt
Organism: Felis catus (domestic cat)
Lineage: Eukaryota; Metazoa; Chordata; Mammalia; Carnivora; Felidae
Exons: 4
Source: RefSeq, a predicted model, not a curated record